GUAACGGGGAAUUAGGGUUCGAUUCCGGAGAGGGAGCCUGAGAAACGGCUACCACAUCCAAGGAGGCAGCAGGCGCGCAAAUUACCCAAUCCCGACACGGGGAGGUAGUGACAAAUAAAUAACAAAUACAAGGGCUCUUUCAGGUCUGUAAUUGGAAUGAGUACAAAUUUAAAUCUCUUAAUGAGGAACAAUUGGAGGGCAAGUCUGGUGCCAGCAGCCGCGGUAAUUCCAGCUCCAAUAGCGUAUAUUAAAGUUGUUGCAGUUAAAAAGCUCGUAGUUGAAUUUCGGGAUUAGUACGUUGGUCGUGCCUUCGGUACGUACUGGUGUUACUGAUUCCUACCUUCUGACGAACCAUCAUGUCAUUAAUUUGGUGUGGUGGGGAAUCAGGACUGUUACUUUGAAAAAAUUAGAGUGUUUAAAGCGGGCAUUUGCUUGAAUACAUUAGCAUGGAAUAAUGAAAUAGGACGACGGUUCUAUUUUGUUGGUUAUAGGACCAUCGUAAUGAUUAAUAGGGAUAGUUGGGGGCAUUAGUAUUCAAUUGUCAGAGGUGAAAUUCUUGGAUUUAUUGAAGACUAACUACUGCGAAAGCAUUUGCCAAGGAUGUUUUCAUUAAUCAAGAACGAAAGUUAGGGGAUCGAAGACGAUCAGAUACC
Molecule: ribosomal RNA, 653 nt
Filed under: Glomeromycotina sp. AB-2014
Lineage: Eukaryota; Fungi; Glomeromycota
Description: SSU rRNA
Rfam family: Eukaryotic small subunit ribosomal RNA
Source: RNAcentral